Long non-coding RNA from Diachasmimorpha longicaudata, 1390 nucleotides. RefSeq lists it as uncharacterized. NCBI's taxonomy places the organism in Eukaryota, Metazoa, Arthropoda, Insecta, Hymenoptera, Braconidae. The transcript has 3 exons. The record is from RefSeq and is a predicted model, not a curated record.
UCGUUAACCCUACGGUUACGGAACUUUGAAAAAUAUCAAUCGAUUUGCCAUUGAUAUGUGAAGAAUGUGAUUUGUGUUUAUGAUGUUUCUGUAAUUUUCGUUUGUGCUGCAGAUGUUUGUGCUCUAUCGAACAAUCAGAGUGGCGGUGAGGAGAGGGGGAGUGGGGGUUGGUAUGAUUCUUCGGCGUGAUCAAAAGAACAAAGAGUUUUUGGCGUAACGAGGACACACGUCACCGCUGGAUUCACGACAGUAAAUCAAGUAACGAAUGAACGAGGGCCAAGUUUUGGGGGAGAGGAAUGAGGGCUUGACAAUGUCGGGAGUAUUCGGUAGAGUGAAACGGUGAGUUUCGUCGUCACGCUCCAAUUGGCUGAUCAUCGAAAGUGAAUGAGUCUGUUUGCAGGUGCAUACGAGUCAUACCGGUGUUGGAGUUAGAGUCCUGGUAUCCCGUGGAGAGGGGGAGAGACAUCACGGCUUAAAGAUGAAAUCGGGACAUUGGUAAGUUGAGAACUCAGGGGAUGGGGUGGCUCGUGCUGGAGGAUGACCUCUGACCGUGAAGAGAGUGAAGCAAUGAGGAUGCCAUGGGCCGGGCACGCGAGGUCCGAAGACCCCUGGGUAACAUCUCUUGGUCUUGUGGCCUCAGGCACGCGCUCCUCCACCACUUCUCUCUCUUUCCCUCGUCCAGCAUUUCUCUCGAUCUCUCUUUUUUCCCCUCCUCCCCCUCAUGCCCUCAGCGGUACCACGGAAUGGAUAAUUCCAUGCGAUUGGCUGGUGUGUCGUGCCAAUGCAGCUCGUGCAAAGUGGCUCGGGCUCUACUUCGAAUUGGUGUAAUGCAACAAAACGCAAUCUUAUGUACGUGUAAUACCCAUAUUCAGAAAAUGGUGGAUACACCAGGAUGAUGUCUCGCAAAAUGGACGUACAACGAUACAUGCUCUCAACAGUUCUUCGCUCGUUGGUUUUAUUGUUGCACAUCUUCGUGAUGAUGAAGGGAAAAAAGAAAAUUAAUUCACCGGUGGAUGACCCAGGAGAUUGAGGGUAGAAGGAGAAAAGGGCUUUGGCGAUUAAACUAUUCGUCGGUGUGUAAGGGAUAUACGGCCCGUCGGGGGAAAGAGGAAGAGGAUUCAGCGGAACGAUCAAAUUAAAAUUCGACCAUUGGGAUCCCCCCCGAAUUAUGGGAAUUACUCCUCGAUAUAACCCUGUCAUUAAAAUUUUUGCUUUGAUUAAUUUGUCCGGGUGUUAUUUAACCGCGCGUAAUUCAAACGUGCGGUAAGUCUUUCGGGUGAAUUUUAGAACAAUUUUGGAGUGAUAAAUUGUUUCAGUUGAGCCGGUGGAUAUAAAAAGAAUUUUGUGAUGACGCACAUGCAAUUUUUGGAGUUUAAAUUGUUUAGAUGAA